UAAACUUGUUAUCCUUCUCUCUUUCUUUUCCUCAGCACUGACAAAUCAUCUUUUUGAAAUCAGGUCUGCAUUGAAGCUAUGAGAGACCUCUUUAAACGAGCACGGUGGGAUAUUCAUGGGGUUCAAGUUCCAGGGGAAACGUGUGCCUUGAGUGUUUGAAAUUUCAGUUGUGCAUGAUUACUUCCAUUGAUGUUCUAAGUUAAACCAGUUCCUAAAAUCAUUGCCUCUCUAUCCUGCUCAAAUGGAAGAACAGCUUAACUUGACAUGGUGCAAACUAAGUUCAGAUUGUCCCAAGGAUUAAGGAAUUGGAGCACCAAAUUCCUGAUCUGAGGUGGCUGCUGUUUGUUUGCCUCUCGCAGAGGCUGGUAACUUUGCCCUAUAUUGAGAACAAACUACAUCUUGGAUAAGCCAUUUAGUCAAGCAUGCAUGGUUUCUAGGAAACAAGCCUUCUAUUAUCUGCUAGCUAUAUGAAGAACCUCCUGUCAGAUUUCGCAUUUUUGUGCUCUCUUGGUGUUUCCAUGAAAGCUUAAAGAAUGGAGCAACAAACA
Rosa rugosa (rugosa rose) is the source of this 548-nucleotide long non-coding RNA. RefSeq lists it as uncharacterized. The transcript has 3 exons. Lineage: Eukaryota; Viridiplantae; Streptophyta; Magnoliopsida; Rosales; Rosaceae. The record is from RefSeq and is a predicted model, not a curated record.